This 217-nucleotide long non-coding RNA is filed under the name Mytilus galloprovincialis (Mediterranean mussel). The record is from RNAcentral. Lineage: Eukaryota; Metazoa; Mollusca; Bivalvia; Mytilida; Mytilidae.
GUGUGUUUCGAAGUAUAUAUGUGGGUUAACUAGUUAUAAAACCCGGUUUUCCCGGAAAAUGCAUGAUUCAUUCAAGUCAGGAAUAUGGUAGUUGUUUUUAAUUGUUCAAUUGAUGUAUAUCGUUUGAUUUUGUCAGUUUUAGUCGACUAGCUUCUCCUGUUUAAAUAUGCCUUUUCGAGUUCAAUUUUUUCGUUAUAUCUUAUCAAGAUAGAAUACA